This 714-nucleotide long non-coding RNA is filed under the name Homo sapiens (human). RNAcentral's name for it is "HSALNT0163840". The record is from RNAcentral. Lineage: Eukaryota; Metazoa; Chordata; Mammalia; Primates; Hominidae.
GGAGGCUGGGCAGACCCUUCAGGGCUCCUGUUCUGGUCAGAUGGCAGGGCCUGGAUGGCUCAGUUACUCUCUGAGUAACAAAACACGUGAAAUUCAAAACUCAGCAAACAAGCACUUUUAAGACUCAGGAAAAUGCCCAACCAUAUCCAGAGUGCAGCUUCCCCAUGGAAGAAAAGUUCCAAGCAGAUUGCACAAGCACAGCUGCUUCACAAAGAUUUUAAUUGGCACAGAGUGCAAGUUUGUUUGUUUGUUUGUUUGUUUGUUUUUCCCCGUAAUGCUUUUCUAGAGUAUAAAGGCCUUUGGACUUUGAUAACCAACAUCUGAGUUUGCUUGGGACUGAAGGGUUUCUCAGGGCUCAGAACUUUCAGUGCUAAAACCAGAACAGUCUCAGGCAAACCAGGCAGGAUGGUUGGUUGCCUUACUUGAACAUCCCAUAACACUUUUUUUUUUUUUUUUUUGCCCAGGCUGGAGUGCAAUGGCACGUUCUCAGCUCCCUGCAACCUCUAUCUCCCAAGUUCAAGAGAUUCUCCUGCCUCAGCCUUCCGAGUAGCUGGGAUUACAGGCAACUGCCACCAUGCCAGGCUAAUUUUUUGUAUUUUAAGUAGAGACAGGGUUUUGCCAUGUUGGCCAGGCUGGUCUUGAACUCCUAGCCUCAGGUGAUCCACCUGCCUCGGCCUCCCAAAUGCUGAGAUUACAGACAUGAGCCACCACGCC